CAGCAGCCGCGGUAAAACCAGCACCUCGAGUGGUCAGGAGGUUUAUUGGGCCUAAAGCAUCCGUAGCCGGUUGCAUAAGUUUUCGGUUAAAUCUAUGCGCUUAACGUAUAGGCCGCCGAAAAUACUGUGCAGCUAGGGAGUGGGAGAGGUACACGGUACUCGAUAGGAAGGGGUAAAAUCCUUUGAUCUAUUGAUGACCACCUGUGGCGAAGGCGGUGUACCAGAACACGUUCGACGGUGAGGGAUGAAAGCUGGGGGAGCAAACCGGAUUAGAUACCCCAGUAGUCCCUGUCUCUUAUAC
Molecule: ribosomal RNA, 301 nt
Filed under: uncultured bacterium
Lineage: Bacteria
Description: partial 16S ribosomal RNA
Rfam family: Archaeal small subunit ribosomal RNA
Source: RNAcentral